UUUUCAACACUUUGUAUCUCAGAAAUGACAAUAAAGAAAUAAAUGGCUACUUAAUCUCUAACAAUGGAUUAUCGUAGUUGUAAUAUGUUUUAUGUAUGAAAAGAAAUAUCAAUACCGUGAACAUCAAUUUCAAAGCAGUAUUAAGUAGAUACAAUUCUAUAUUAUAGUAGUAAUAUUUUUGUAACUCAUAAGAUGAAUAUGUAUAAUUACAAAUAAUAUUAUUUAAUAUUUUCUUACAAUGAUUGAGAUUGCUUGGGAAUAACGUGCAACUGCACGUUUAUAGAGACUAGUUAUACUAAAAGUGGGAAGAAUCUAAACCAAAAGUUGAAUUACGAAAAAGCCCAUCAAAAGUUGAUUGACAUUUUUCCCCAUAAAAAAAAAGAGUGAAAAUAUUUUAUAUAUAAUGAAUAAAAGUACUGGAUAAAAUUAAGGCACAUACAAAUAUUAUGUACAGAUGAUGUACUUGCUUGCUUUUAAUUUAAUGAUUAAAAUUCCAACGUAGCUAUUCAAUUGGGAGUUACAAUGUUGAAACUCAUGUAUUUAUUUGUUCAUUUAUUUUAUUUUAAUUGCCUACAAAGUCUCUGAAUACAAUUUAUCAACUUUCCCCCUUCCCCAAUUUUUUUUUUUUUCUGUGUGUCAAAUUGUUUCUUUAAUAGAUACCAAUCUGUUGGCUUCUCCUUUUCCCUCCAAUCAGAAUCUUCUUAGAUUGAAACUAAAUUUUCAUUAUUUUCUUGUAAAUGUUUUAUAUUUAAUAGCUCCAAAAAUAUCUAAUUAAUUGCUUCUUUUUAUUGUCCCUUAUUUAAGGUCUUUAAUUAGGCAAGAAACUGAUCAUGAAGACUAAAGGUCAGGACAAUCUGAUUGAUUGAGGAGAGUAGGAAGAUGAUGAAUCUUUUUUUUUUUUUUUCCCCUCUCAAAAAUUUCUAAUAGUUUAAUACUUUUCAGCUUUCUUUACCUAAAUUUACCUAUUUAAAGUGACCUAUGAAGGGCAAAUGAAUCUAGCUCUUCUUAUGCAGUUUCUCUUCGUUUUCCUUAUGUGUUUUUCACUUUCAUUUUUGCAAUGACCAUACAAAUGGCCCUACUCUUUCAACUAUAAGACAAAAUUCAAGUUAAUGGGACAAACUCUUGCCUGAUUGAUUCCACAUAUGUUUUGCAAUUGAUGGAGCGAAAUGGCUGGUAUUCAUGGAGUGAAGCACUAGAUUACAAGCUAAAGUGGAGAGGUAUAAGUUCCACGUACGAUGAGACCGCUGCCAUUUUGGAGAACCGGGAUAUAUUGAUUUUUAAGAUACCAGAGUUCGCCACUAGCAUGAAGGAUUGUCCAUCAUUAUCUUCCGAUAUAGAUUGGUUGAUGACUUUUGAGUAUUACCAAGGUUACUUAUCUAUCCGAUAUGGAAUUCACAGAAAGUAUACCAAUACGGAACCACACUAUAAUUUUGAGGCAUGGAGAAAGACUCAAAGAUAGCUGGAUUCGUGGAUUGUUGAGCUUCAAGCUUUGUAGAAGGAAUUAAGUAGUGAUCAAGAAGACGAGACUUGAAGCCGGUGCAUUGUCUAAGCAUUCUAAUUUCUUGGACGUGUUCAACGUGCAGGGAAGAAUUUUCUGCAGGUUCUAUGGUUUAUUGUCUCAAUUAUUGUUCCCAUGUUUACCAUCAAACUUGUAUUCUAGAAUGACUUUUAAGAAAUAGGUUUUGUCCCUAUUGU
Lycium ferocissimum is the source of this 1695-nucleotide long non-coding RNA. RefSeq lists it as uncharacterized. The record is from RefSeq and is a predicted model, not a curated record. The transcript has 2 exons. NCBI's taxonomy places the organism in Eukaryota, Viridiplantae, Streptophyta, Magnoliopsida, Solanales, Solanaceae.